RNAcentral lists this ribosomal RNA (429 nucleotides) under Actinomycetes bacterium. RNAcentral describes it as "Actinobacteria bacterium partial 16S ribosomal RNA". It matches the Rfam family "Bacterial small subunit ribosomal RNA", at positions 355 to 776 of the family's 1533-position model. Lineage: Bacteria; Bacillati; Actinomycetota; Actinomycetes. The record is from RNAcentral.
UAGGGAAUCUUCCGCAAUGGGCGAAAGCCUGACGGAGCAACGCCGCGUGAGUGAUGACGGUCUUCGGAUCGUAAAAUUCUGUUAUUAGGGAAGAACAAAUGUGUAAGUAACUAUGCACGUCUUGACGGUACCUAAUCAGAAAGCCACGGCUAACUACGUGCCAGCAGCCGCGGUAAUACGUAGGUGGCAAGCGUUAUCCGGAAUUAUUGGGCGUAAAGCGCGCGUAGGCGGUUUUUUAAGUCUGAUGUGAAAGCCCACGGCUCAACCGUGGAGGGUCAUUGGAAACUGGAAAACUUGAGUGCAGAAGAGGAAAGUGGAAUUCCAUGUGUAGCAGAGAAAUGCGCAGAGAUAAGGAGGAACACCAGUGGCGAAGGCGACUUUCUGGUCUGUAACUGACGCUGAUGUGCGAAAGCGGGGGGAUCAAACAGG